This 253-nucleotide ribosomal RNA is filed under the name uncultured bacterium. Its description in RNAcentral is "partial 16S ribosomal RNA". It matches the Rfam family "Bacterial small subunit ribosomal RNA", at positions 524 to 776 of the family's 1533-position model. The record is from RNAcentral.
GACGAACCGUGCGAACGUUGCUCGGAAUCACUGGGCUUAAAGGGCGCGUAGGCGGACAAGCAAGUCGGAGGUGAAAUCCCACGGCUCAACCGUGGAAGUGCCCCCGAUACUACUUGUCUUGAGGGAGAUAGGGGCGUGCGGAACUUCCGGUGGAGCGGUGAAAUGCGUAGAUAUCGGAAGGAACACCGGUGGCGAAAGCGGCGCGCUGGAUCUCUUCUGACGCUGAGGCGCGAAAGCCAGGGGAGCAAACGGG